UGGGGAAUAUUGCACAAUGGGCGCAAGCCUGAUGCAGCCAUGCCGCGUGUGUGAAGAAGGCCUUCGGGUUGUAAAGCACUUUCAGCGAGGAGGAAGGUGGUGAACUUAAUACGUUCAUCAAUUGACGUUACUCGCAGAAGAAGCACCGGCUAACUCCGUGCCAGCAGCCGCGGUAAUACGGAGGGUGCAAGCGUUAAUCGGAAUUACUGGGCGUAAAGCGCACGCAGGCGGUUUGUUAAGUCAGAUGUGAAAUCCCCGGGCUCAACCUGGGAACUGCAUUUGAAACUGGCAAGCUAGAGUCUCGUAGAGGGGGGUAGAAUUCCAGGUGUAGCGGUGAAAUGCGUAGAGAUCUGGAGGAAUACCGGUGGCGAAGGCGGCCCCCCUGGACGAAGACUGACGCUCAGGUGCGAAAAGCGUGGGGCAGCAAACAGGAUUAGAUACCCUGGUAGUCCACGCUGUAAACGAUGUCGAUUUGGAGGUUGUGCCCCUGAGGCGUGGNUUCCGGAGCUAACG
Molecule: ribosomal RNA, 513 nt
Filed under: uncultured bacterium
Lineage: Bacteria
Description: partial 16S ribosomal RNA
Rfam family: Bacterial small subunit ribosomal RNA
Source: RNAcentral